AUUCCGGUUGAUCCUGCCGGAGGUCAUUGCUAGUGGAGUCCGAUUUAGCCAUGCUAGUUGCACGAGUUUAGACUCGUAGCAGAUAGCUCAGUAACACGUGGCCAAACUACCCUCUGGAUCGGGAUAACCUCGGGAAACUGAGGCUAAUCCUGAAUAGCGUUCUCACCCUGGAGUGGGGAGAACGUGAAAUGCUCCGGCGCCAGAGGAUGUGGCUGCGGCCGAUUAGGUAGACGGUGGGGUAACGGCCCACCGUGCCAGUAAUCGGUACGGGUUGUGAGAGCAAGAGCCCGGAGACGGUAUCUGAGACAAGAUACCGGGCCCUACGGGGCGCAGCAGGCGCGAAACCUUUACACUGCACGCCAGUGCGAUAAGGGGACUCCAUCUGCGAGGGCAUAUCGUCCUCGCUUUUCUGUACCGUAAGGUGGUACAGGAAUAAGGGCUGGGCAAGACCGGUGCCAGCCGCCGCGGUAAUACCGGCAGCCCGAGUGAUGACCGCUAUUAUUGGGCCUAAAGCGUCCGUAGCUGGCCAGGCAAGUCCAUCGGGAAAUCCGCGCGCCCAACGCGCGGGCGUCCGGUGGAACCUGCUUGGCUUGGGACCGGAAGACCUGAGGGGUACGUCCGGGGUAGGAGUGAAAUCCCGUAAUCCUGGACGGACCACCGGUGGCGAAAGCGCCUCAGGAAGACGGAUCCGACGGUGAGGGACGAAAGCUCGGGUCACGAACCGGAUUAGAUACCCGGGUAGUCCGAGCUGUAAACGAUGUCUGCUAGGUGUGGCACAGGCUACGAGCCUGUGCUGUGCCGUAGGGAAGCCGUGAAGCAGACCGCCUGGGAAGUACGUCCGCAAGGAUGAAACUUAAAGGAAUUGGCGGGGGAGCACUACAACCGGAGGAGCCUGCGGUUUAAUUGGACUCAACGCCGGACAUCUCACCAGCAUCGACAGCAGGAGUGACGAUCAGGUUGAUGACCUUAUCAGACCUGCUGAGAGGAGGUGC
This 992-nucleotide ribosomal RNA is filed under the name Halopiger xanaduensis. RNAcentral describes it as "bacterial SSU rRNA". It matches the Rfam family "Archaeal small subunit ribosomal RNA", at positions 1 to 993 of the family's 1478-position model. The record is from RNAcentral. Lineage: Archaea; Methanobacteriati; Methanobacteriota; Halobacteria; Halobacteriales; Natrialbaceae.